UCUGGCGGCAGUAGCGCGGUGGUCCCACCUGACCCCAUACCGAACUCAGAAGUGAAACGCCGUAGCGCCGAUGGUAGUGUGGGGUCUCCCCAUGCGAGAGUAGGGAACUGCCAGAC
RNAcentral lists this ribosomal RNA (116 nucleotides) under Escherichia coli. RNAcentral also lists the same sequence under 1 other name. Lineage: Bacteria; Pseudomonadati; Pseudomonadota; Gammaproteobacteria; Enterobacterales; Enterobacteriaceae. The record is from RNAcentral.